UACGUAGGGCGCAAGCGUUGUCCGGAAUUAUUGGGCGUAAAGAGCUCGUAGGCGGUUUGUCGCGUCUGCUGUGAAAAUCCGGGGCUCAACCCCGGACUUGCAGUGGGUACGGGCAGACUAGAGUGUGGUAGGGGAGACUGGAAUUCCUGGUGUAGCGGUGAAAUGCGCAGAUAUCAGGAGGAACACCGAUGGCGAAGGCAGGUCUCUGGGCCACUACUGACGCUGAGAAGCGAAAGCAUGGGGAGCGAACAGGAUUAGAUA
Molecule: ribosomal RNA, 261 nt
Filed under: uncultured prokaryote
Description: partial 16S ribosomal RNA
Rfam family: Bacterial small subunit ribosomal RNA
Source: RNAcentral